UUCAGUCCCCCAGAAAUUGCACCAGAGGGAUGGAACCUCUCUCUGAUUGGACAACAGCACUUUUGGAGGGAAAAUAAAAGGAGCCAUUUCUGAGGGAGAGAGUUAGAUAGUGUUUGAUAUGAGAGAAGAUGAAGAGGGAUUGUUUUGAGGUGGGAGUUGGGGAGGAGGAUAGGAUUUGCCUGAGGGAGAACUGGUUCUGGUUUGAGUUGAACACCCUCCCUGAGAGAGGAAAGACCCUCCCAGCCUGGAGAGGGAGACUCGGUUGGGGGUCUGGGGGAGGUCGACAAACAGGGGUGUCCUGGGAGGGCUGACUCUUGAGGCAGGAGAAGCAGAUCCUGGGGGAUUCAGGCUCUUCUGGGUCCCCUUCCAGUCAGGAGGGGGCAGUUCUUCUAGGGAGAGAAGACCCCCCAAGCCAGUCACAAGGGGGGAAGGGGACCCCUGGGUCUGUUACGCCAUUUUGGAAUUACCUCAGCAGUGGGGUUGCUUAGAGGGGGAGCUGGGGAAAAGUGCCCCUCGCUCAUGAACCAGGGUAUUGAUCGGGGAAGGAAGCUGUGCUGUAUUUAACUGAACCACCUGUCAUAACUAAGUAACAGAAAAUGAAGUAUAACAACUUUUUUUUAGUGAAGAGAGCUUAAGAGAAGCGGUGACUGUAAUCCUGUGUUUAAGACUGAAACAUCUUAUAGUUUAAGUAAAUAAGUUGACUUCUACCCGGGAGAACACAUUUCCUGACCCACAUUCUUUCAAAAGAUUCUUUUUAUUAAUAAAACUCUGUUUUUUGUUCAA
Long non-coding RNA from Podarcis raffonei (Aeolian wall lizard), 783 nucleotides. RefSeq lists it as uncharacterized. The transcript is spliced from 2 exons. The record is from RefSeq and is a predicted model, not a curated record. Lineage: Eukaryota; Metazoa; Chordata; Lepidosauria; Squamata; Lacertidae.